Pieris brassicae (large cabbage white) is the source of this 4039-nucleotide RNA transcript. It is a transcript of the gene named chromosome-associated kinesin KIF4, with no coding region annotated. The transcript is spliced from 22 exons. NCBI's taxonomy places the organism in Eukaryota, Metazoa, Arthropoda, Insecta, Lepidoptera, Pieridae. The record is from RefSeq and is a predicted model, not a curated record.
GGCCAGCAAUACAUUAGCCAGCCGUUGAUUUCAAAAAUAAAAAGUUCUGAAAAAUUUGGCUGGCGGUUGCCCGUUGAUGUUUCUUUAGUUAUUGUAAUUGCCGCCUUAUAAGUUUAGUUAUUAAAAACUGUUUCAAGUGUUUUCUAGACAUUUUCACAUUCUAAAUCAAUAGAGGAAGAAUACUUAACAAUGGUAGUUAAAUCUUAGACGAUAAUUUCAUAAAUAAUUUCACCAUACAACUGAUCAUAUUUUAUUUAUUGGGUUUAUAAUAAAUAACUCAAAAUGGUGGACGGGGAUUCCAAUAAAUGUACAAUAGACACUGUACAAGUCGCUUUAAGAAUCAGGCCUUUAAUGGAACAAGAAAUUGAAAGAGGCUGCGUUGAAUGCAUUGAAAUGAUAAAUGGAACCCCACAAGUUACAAUUAAAGACUUAGCAUUUACAUAUAAUUUUGUGUUUCCACAACAUAUAACACAACAAGAAUUCUAUGACACAUCAGUUAAAGGUUUAAUUGGAAAGUUAUUUCAAGGUUAUAAUGUUACAAUACUUGCUUAUGGGCAAACUGGAUCAGGGAAGACAUAUACAAUGGGGACCAAUUAUUCUGGAUCAUUUGGGGACUCAACAAAAUUAGGUGUUAUACCUCAGGCUGUUGCUGAUAUAUUUGACUUUAUAGAAACACACGAAGACCAAUUUAUAUUUAAAGUAUCUGUAUCAUUUAUGGAAUUAUACCAAGAGCAAUGCUUUGAUUUACUAUCUGGGAAAGAGCGAGGUCACAGUAUUAUUGAGAUUCGAGAAGAUGUUAAUAAGGGAGUGAUCUUGCCAGGUAUAACAGAAGUUCCAGUCUCGUCAACGGCUGAAACAAUGUUGGCGCUAGAGAGAGGUUCAUCAGGCCGUGUGACAGGUUCCACUGCUAUGAACCAGGCUUCCAGUCGGAGUCAUGCCGUAUUCACUAUUACCAUCUUAAAGGAGAGUCGAAACGAUAAAAACCUAGCAACAUCGUCUAAGUUCCACCUCGUCGACUUGGCUGGUUCCGAGCGCAUAAAAAAGACGAAGGCUAGCGGGGAGCGACUUAAGGAAGGAGUUAAAAUUAACCAGGGCUUAUUGGCUCUUGGUAAUGUGAUCUCUGCAUUGGGAGAUGGCACCAAUAGGAGCUUUAUUAGCUACAGAGACAGCAAGCUUACGAGGCUACUACAGGAUAGUCUCGGCGGUAAUUCCCUAACAUUGAUGGUAGCGUGUGUGAGUCCAGCGGACUUUAAUUUGGACGAGACGGUGUCUACGCUGAGAUACGCCGACCGCGCAAGGCGUAUACGCAACAAGCCCGUUAUUAACCAGGACGCUAAGGCCGCUGAGAUUGUUCGCCUUAAUAAUUUAGUAAACGACCUAAGACUGCAACUCCUUGGUAAACUCCCAUCACUAAGUGAACAAAACAACGAACAAUUACAAGAGGAGUUAGAAAGAGAAAGAGCCAAAUACCAAGAGUUAUUGAAAAAGAACAAACAAAUCACAGAACAUUUGGGCAACAUUCUCAUUGAAAACACGAAUUUAUGCGAAAAGGCCCUUUUGGCUGAAGCGGCGAAGGACAAAAUUGAAAGAAAGUUAAACGAACUAACAGAACAAUGCAAUCAGACUAUAGAAAAUCUGACGAUGGAGAAAGAAGAAGAUGACUUACAGAAAACAAGUGUAAUGGACUACUUGAAGGAGAUUAAGACGCGAUUGGAAGAUAUGCAGACUCUGAAUAAGCAGACCAACGAAGAAAUGAUCGAUCAUGAUAUUAAAGUGUCGUAUAUAAAGGAAAAUGGUGAUAACAGUGUUGAAGAAGUGAUGACUGAAGACCAGGCCGCGAUUGAGGAGGAGAAGCGGGCUAUGGGACAAGUGGCAUUGAAUCAAGAAUUGCAGGAAUUAAAUCGAGCAAUGGCUUUUAAAGCAAGUUUGGUGCAAACCAUUCUUAGAAGUAACCAGGAUAUGUUAAAGAGUCAUGACAAUCUCCGGGAGAAUGAGGACAGAAUCUCUAAAUUGGAAAAGGAAAAGGAUGAGUUGCUGCAACAGUUGAAGAAUACUAGGACCAAGGAUCCAUCCCAUGACGAGACACGCAAGCAAGUGUCGAUGUUGGAAGCAGAGAUCACCGAGCUGAAGAAGAAGUGCCAGCAUCAAGCCAACGUCAUCAAGACGACGCAGAAGAACGAAGCCAAGAUUAAGUCUUUGAAUACGGAACUGCAAGCCAUGAAGGCUGCUAAGGUGCAAAUAAUUCGGAAAAUGCGUGAAGAAAGCGAAAAGUUCCGGAAAUGGAAGGCAGACAACGAACGGGCGAUGUUGCGCCUCAAGACGGAAGAUCGCAAGCGGGUAACAGCGAUGGCCAAGAUGGAGUCCUUACACGCGAAGCAGCAGAAUGUGCUGAAGAGGAAGAUGGAGGAAGCCGUGGCUGUUAAUAAGAGACUCAAGGAAGCCCUAGACCGCCAAAAGCUGACUGCGAUAAAACGUAAUGCAAAGGGAAAUGUUAAGAGUGGCGCUGUACAGCAAUAUAUUGAACAAGAGCUGGAGAUGCAUCUCAGUAUUGUGGAGGCUGAGAAAUCGCUUGAGGAACUGAUGGAGUACCGAGCGUGGAUAACUGAGCAAAUCGAGUUCAUCCGCAAUAGUACAGACUCUGAGGCCAAUAGCAAGAAGCUUGAGGAAUUAGAAGAUGAUUUGGCCUUGCGCAAAGCGCAGAUUUCUGAUCUGCAGCAAAAAAUUCUUACCGCUGACCAAGAGAACAAAGCUCGCACCCAAUGGGACAAGAUCCAGUCGAUGCUCGAGGCCAAAGUGGCUCUCAAAUGCCUCUUCGAGUUACUCGUGGAUGCGAAGAGAGAUCUUCAAAGCCAGAGUGAGAAAGGCUUCCAGGCGAGAUACGAAGAGAUCAAGGACACUUACGAUCGCCUCAAAGUGGAGUAUGAGAAUAGAGAAGCGGACUUUGAGCGGCAGUUGGCGGGUAUCAAGGCUGAAAAUGAUGAAAAGCUAUCCGCCCUCUUCGAGUUUCAGCGCGGGGUAAUGGGCCGUGGGGACAGGACGGAAGCGUGUCGCAAUUUGCAAACGGUAUUGCAGUUCCAGCAAGAUAAGCUGGAGUUAUUGGAGCAGGAGAAUAAAAAGCUUUCCGAUGAGCUGGACCAGCUACGUGCGGCCAGUUGCAAAGCGAAGAAACGCAAUAAGACACUUGAAACUGUGAAGAAAGUGGAAUACGUUGAACCAACUGAUGAGGAAGAGGAAGUUGAGGACUUUGAUAACGACCCGGACUGGCGUGCCUCACCUCUUACCAAGCGGAUUCGGGGUCAACGCCUGACGAUGAACUUCGGUCCGCCUAGAGACUCCAACGGUAAUCCUACGGCGAUACGGCGUAGUGAAACUCUCCCCUACUGCACUUGUAGAGGUAGCUGCAGCAGCAAACUCUGCGGGUGUGUGAAGACUGAUCGCGGAUGCCAUCCCAAAUGCAGAUGUUCGCAGCAGCUCUGCAAGAAUCGGCGUCUGUCAUCCGAUAGCGAAGAUAAGGAAAAUAAUCCCGCUUCAGAUUCACAUUCAGACACGACUCCAGUGUAUUUUGACAAACGUUUUGAAAUGUCGCAGGAGCUGAAAGAUGCCUUGAACGAACCCGCAGUGGAAACUAAACGUCCCACGCGUCCCAUGUCCGAACCCGUGGCUAAGAAUCCCAAUCGCACCCAGAAAUGGAUGCAUACGGAAAAGUAUACUUUCUAUAAAAACCUGUCUGGAAUCUGGCACAUUUUUAAAAGGAGGGAAACAUUUUAAUCCAAUUUAGAUCUUCACCCUGACUCGACAUUUGUAAAAAAACCAAGGAGUUUCUUCUUUGAAAAAGAGAGUGAUGAGUGAUAUUAAGGCUUACAUUGACAUGAUCCAGGAAUAGAAGUGAUAGUUAUAAUUCCUGUAAAUUAUGUUUUGUCCUAAAUUAUCUAUGAAUGUAUUUUGUAUGUCUUAAAUUGCGUUGUAUGAAAUUUAUUUCUUUGAAAUUAGUAUUAGGUAUAAGAUUUUAUGCAUAAUUCGACGAGUUCCACAAAUAUAA